GACACGAACAAUGCUGAUGGUUCCCCAAGCUUCAAGCGACGGGAAAAAAGGGAAUUCGGUGCGAGCUGACGCUCAACUCCGAGACUGCCCCCGCAACUGUAAGCGGCGCGCAAACCGUAAAGGCCACUGAACCGACAAGGUUUGGGAAGGCACGGUAAGCACCAAGCCGCAAGUCAGGAGACCUGCCAUCUUCAAACGCAACCC
Molecule: non-coding RNA, 204 nt
Filed under: Actibacterium mucosum
Lineage: Bacteria; Pseudomonadati; Pseudomonadota; Alphaproteobacteria; Rhodobacterales; Roseobacteraceae
Also listed under: 1 other name
Source: RNAcentral